AUUGAACGCUGGCGGCAUGCUUUACACAUGCAAGUCGAACGGCAGCGCGGUCUUCGGGCUGGCGGCGAGUGGCGAACGGGUGAGUAAUACAUCGGAACGUGCCCAGUAGGGGGGGAUAACUACGCGAAAGCGCUGGUAAUACCGCCUACGACCUGCGGGGGAAAGCUGGGGGUGGUUGGACCGUGCCCUAUUGGAGGGGCCGAUUCCGGAUUAGCUAGUUGGUGGGGUAAAGGGUGACCAAGGAGGCGAUUGGUAGGUGGUGGGAGUGGACGGGCAGCCACACUGGGACGGAGACACGGACCAGACUACUACGGGAGGCAGCAGUGGGGAAUUGUGGACAAUGGGGGGAAGCCUGAUCCAGCGAUCCCGCGUGUGAGAUGAAGGCCUUCGGGUUGUAAAGCACUUCUGGCGGGAACGAAACGGCUUGGGCUAAUACGACGCGUAAAUGACGGUACCGGCAGAAGAAGCACCGGCUAACUACGUG
This 484-nucleotide ribosomal RNA is filed under the name uncultured bacterium. RNAcentral's name for it is "partial 16S ribosomal RNA". It matches the Rfam family "Bacterial small subunit ribosomal RNA", at positions 28 to 507 of the family's 1533-position model. The record is from RNAcentral.